This 633-nucleotide unclassified non-coding RNA is filed under the name Hevea brasiliensis (rubber tree). The record is from RNAcentral. Lineage: Eukaryota; Viridiplantae; Streptophyta; Magnoliopsida; Malpighiales; Euphorbiaceae.
AAGACAUGUAAGUUUAAGUUGUCAGAUGGUAUGACUAUUGUUGGUAAUUAUAAUGAUAAUUACAACUGUAUGUUUAGAAGAGAAAAUAGCAAUCAGGCCUUCCAUGAAUAUCCUUUUUGUUUUAAUUUUUUUUAAUGCAUAUUAUGCAUAAACAUAAUUGUUUCCAUGCAUAUUUAUGAGCUAUAGGCAAUUUAUGUUGAAAACAUUAUAUGAAAUUAAAAAAAGAACCAAAUUAACCAUUCAGUAACCUUCAGAAGAGAAUCACUCUUUGGCAGUGUUAAUAGCUGUGAAAAACUUUUAUCAUGUGAAGCAUGGCACCAUCAGCUAUGUUGAACAAAGUCUUAUGUAGCAUAAGAAAGAACUCGGUCAUACAUUUUCUGGAAAACAAAUUAUUAAAAGCUUGACUUUUAUUAAAACCCUAAUCUUGCAUUAGUUCUUGUAGCCGUGAAAAAUGCCUCAGUUCAAUUAUAUUUCAGUAGCUCAUAACAAUUAUAGAAGCAGUGGGCUGCUGUCUUCUUCUAUUUCUCUCACUAUCUUUUUGUGUUCUUUUUAAUUUUGUAUUUUAACUAUGAAAAUGUCCUCAUUUCAAAUUGUUGGUACCAUUGACUUCUUAUUUGAGAGGGAUUUUUUUUU